GAAUUGCGAUAAGUAGUGUGAAUUGCAGAAUUCAGUGAAUCAUCGAAUCUUUGAACGCACAUUGCGCUUCCUGGUAUUCCGGGGAGCAUGCCCGUUUCAGAAUCAUAAGAAAAACUCAUGCUUUGCUCUCAGCGUAUGCGGGGGGUUGAGCAUGGAUGUUGGAUGCUUUGUCGAGUGCGUACAAUCAUCUUCAAAUGAAUGUGUGUGCCGCAAUUUCCGUGUCGAUUGCGAUCGCAAGUGCAACAGCUUAGUUCUAUUCUCUUCGAUCGAGCAAUUGGGCAUGGUUGUGCAUGGUGUACACCCAAUCAUCACACAGCAGGCGGUGCUCUGGCAUCGUUUGCUGAUAACUUGGUCUGAAAUCGGGCAAGAAAACCCGCUGAACUUAA
RNAcentral lists this unclassified non-coding RNA (386 nucleotides) under uncultured Chytridiomycota. RNAcentral's name for it is "sequence contains ITS1". The stretch from base 1 to 105 matches the Rfam family "5.8S ribosomal RNA", at positions 50 to 154 of the family's 154-position model. Lineage: Eukaryota; Fungi; Chytridiomycota. The record is from RNAcentral.